Non-coding RNA from Paralichthys olivaceus (Japanese flounder), 942 nucleotides. Lineage: Eukaryota; Metazoa; Chordata; Actinopteri; Pleuronectiformes; Paralichthyidae. The record is from RefSeq and is a predicted model, not a curated record.
GCUCCCAUCAGCCCUGAUGCGGGCCUGCAUGCACCACACACAAAAUAAUCACCCACAAUAUGUACAGGGGAGUUCCCACCGGGGGACACCGAGCAGCCGAGGACUCACCGGCACCGGAGCUCCUCCAUCGUCCAGGGAGGAGGAUAAAUACAAGAAUGAAAGAAGGAAGAGCACAGACAUGGGCCUGAUGUGAUGUGUAGCUGGUGACUUUCACUUAUUUCUACUGCAAGAGGAAAGAGGAUAGCAGACUUCUAUAUGAAGAUUUCGAUCAGAUGAAGUGUGGACCAUAAAGUCUGGAUUUCUUUUCCAACCUGGGAUCUGAUGGAGCAGAAGUUUGGAGGAGAGGAGCUGCAACACACCCAGGAGUUUGCCAACAAACAAACGGAUGCAAUUAAACACACUCGCCCUCAGAUCAUCAAUGAGGAGGCAAAGUGGAGACGGGCAGGAAACAGUCAAGGACGAACGGAAGGCGGGAGAACACUCUGCCGCCUCAAGGUUAAAACUGACUGACUCAAGUGUGUGAGGAGCUCAUCUCCACACAAUACGGAUGCUUUUUGCUUCUUCUACACACACACACACACACAGACACACACUCGGUUCUUCCAUUGUAAAUUCAUUUUGUAUUGAAGUGUCAUUGCUUCUGUCUCUGAAGUGAUUAAAGAUCAGUUUUGCAAAUAAAGACAUCAGUUUUGAAAGCUUCCCUCUGCUCUCCUUCCCUUGCCUCACCUCACCAUCAGUAGCCUUCUCCUCUGUGUGCUGAGGUGUGUGCACGGCGUGGUAAAACCUGCCCUGCAGACUGGACCUCUCCAGUCUUCAAAGGAGGAAGGAACUCAAUGUGGGGGGAUUUGUUCAGGCUUAUUUGGUAACCUAGGAUUUGAAUUGGAUUUUGGGAGGCAUUCAUAACACAUUUGAAAAUGUUACAUUGUGUGAUUUUGUGUGUAA